Molecule: long non-coding RNA, 917 nt
Organism: Mangifera indica (mango)
Lineage: Eukaryota; Viridiplantae; Streptophyta; Magnoliopsida; Sapindales; Anacardiaceae
Exons: 2
Source: RefSeq, a predicted model, not a curated record
AUGAAGAAGAAGAAACCAUGGAAGAAGCUUGGCAGCCAUGAAACUCAGAGCUUCAAAAGAAUUUUUGAAACUGAUAAAUUGUUGAUUUGGUUUGUUUUGUUGUUACGGGGUUGUGGUCGCUGACAGUUUCAAUUAAAGAUGGGUGUCGGUUGGAAUGGUUGACAGCGUCAUUCACCAAUUCUGAAGUGUGACAGUGAAGAGUGGAACCGGUAGUAUCCCACUUCAUAUUAUAUGAAUGUUGAGUUGAGUGUGAUUAUUUAUAAUAAUGUUUUAAAUUUGAGGGCUUGUUAUUAUGGUUUUAUUGACAGGUAUUCUAUUCCUUACACGCAAUGAACAGCGUCAGAAGGAAGACACCAUCCAAAUUUUAGGUUUGUAAUAAUUUGUAAUUGACUUUUUCACAUGGGCUUUACAUCAUUUUUGUGGGUUUUGUGCCUAAUCACACAAAAAUUAAUCAAACCGAAAUGUUAUUAUUGGUAGAAUUGAUUACGAAUUGAUUUUACUGCGAACCCCAGUCAAAGAAAAUACUGAUUCUCCUUUGAUUUGUAAAAAGAGGCAGACUUAUUUUACAAAAUGAAAUAAAAAUGGAGUGGAUCAAAGAUGGAUGCGGAAAGAAUUGUGAAGGGACAAGGGAGUAGCUGAGCUCACCGAUUCAUUGACUUUAUGUAUGUGUAAAAGAUAGACUGCCGAAAUGGUCAGCUUGGGAGAUUCGUCAAAGCCACAAAACAAACGCAUUCAUGAGGUUUCCCACUGUAGAGGUGGUGGUGUUCUUCUUUUUCAUUUCAUCUGGUACUGGGUCUUACCCAGAAUCACAAGUAAAAAAAAACCUACCAAGUUUGAUAAAUUCAUGUCUCAUUCUGUAAUGUAACUCAUUCCUUGAUCAGGUCUUCCUGGAGAAGGAAUGUUUAUUACUUGAUCAA